RNAcentral lists this transfer RNA (88 nucleotides) under Pseudomonadota bacterium. RNAcentral describes it as "tRNA-Ser". It matches the Rfam family "tRNA". From Rfam's summary of the family: Transfer RNA (tRNA) molecules are approximately 80 nucleotides in length. RNAcentral also lists the same sequence under 1 other name. The record is from RNAcentral. Lineage: Bacteria; Pseudomonadati; Pseudomonadota.
GGAGGGGUCGCAUAGUGGACGAGUGCGCACGCUUGGAAAGCGUGUAUCCGCGAUAAGCGGAUCGUGGGUUCGAAUCCCACCCCCUCCG